CAAGCUCGCGCCGUCUCAUGGCAAUCUCCGAUCUUUUGUCUGGUACAUAAAGUAUUAUUUAUUCUUGCUUUCUCCCCCGUGCUCUCCGCCCCUCCCCCGAUCCCCUCCUUCCCUACCGUCGCGCCGCCGGCUCCACGCAGCGGCCGACGCGGCCUUCUCUCCCCGGCGCUCGAGAUGCAACAGCGGGUGCGGCAGUUCUCGGUCCAGCCGGGUCGGGCGCAGGUCGCCGGCAUCACUCGCUGCGUGCCGUGAUUCUGGAUCGGGCGCAGAUCUUUGCGCUCCCACCUCUCCUCCUCCUCCUCUCUCUCUCUCCCGUGCCGCCAUCGUUGCAAGGAGCAGGGGAGAUAGGUGCCGAGGACAAGAAGCAACGGGUUGGUUGCGGUGGGCUUGAGCUGCUGGGGAGAUGGAGGAGGCCGUCGUGGUUCGUCAUGGAGGCGGCUCCCCCGGCAAGCUGGUUGAGCACGGAGGAAUGAGGAAUAGAUAAAUGAGGCAUGGCGUAAGCGUAGGGGUCAGCCAGGGCACGACGCAAGAGUCUGCCCAUCUCCUCUCAAAGUUUGUCUGACAGAGGAAGUCAAUUGAGGAGUAUGUUGACACCAGAGUCCAAGACCAUGGGUGAAGCAUUUUAAUCAAUCUGUUGUUUUGGUAAGUUUCUUGCAUUCUUAGGAUUUAAAAUAACUGCAAGGAUUGUAGAGUUCUAAUGGUUGUGUUGGGUGUUUGCGGUGGCGAGGCUGAGCAGAUCAAACUGUACGCUUGGACCGUGACUAAUGGUGUGCCAAUGUGGUGGUGACUGCCACACACUCACACAGAUUCUUGGUACUCUCUGUAACCUGCAGAUGAUGGGUGGCGAAUCCGGCAACCACAGAUCCAUUCCCCUGCAUAAUUUUUGUUUGUUCAUUUGAUUUGGUACAAGGCCUACUCAGAAUGGGUUCCCUGAUCUCAAAAUUGUCAGUUUUCUUGCCUUUAGUUUAUAGGUACCUUAACAAAUACAUGUAUUUACCAUAUUGGCAGUCAUCACCAUACGGCAUUCAUUCUUCAGGAUCUCAUAUUUGAGGCUGGUCCAACCGGAGUUGGUUGAUGGCAGGGGCUGCGCUCCGGCAACCGUAUGGCUGAAGAAGGGAUGCAAAUGGAAAGAAUUUUGAGAUGCAUAAACUCCCGUCUUUGAAUCAGAAACAGAAGAUUGUUAGUUUUCUUGUUUCUUAGUUAUGCUACCCUGCUCCACGUAGGUUUUACAGUGAAAAGCUGAAGAAGUUGUGACGGCGAUGAAAGGACUGAAAGAUUUGCUCGAAGCAAAGACAUCUAGCCGAGAUACAUAUGCAACGAAGAGGAGGGAUCUUAUGUAGAAUAUGCAACAUCCAUGGUGCUGAAGGUGUGCUAUUAAGUCUCAGUUGCUCCUGCAAAAUAGCAUCUUAAUAAACAAAGGAUAUGCACCGCCAAGCAGUUUGUUGUGUAUUUUUUCCCUUCCAACGUUAUUGGAAAGAAGUCCAAAUAACCCCUGGGGUUUCACAAACUGGUCACUUUACCCCCUGAAGUCUAAAACCAGGAAAAUGUUUCCUGUUUUUGGUCUAACCCAUCGUAAGCUUGUCUCGUGGAUCCAUCUAUAUGAGAACCUUCUCAGUGGGUGUCAAAUGGAUUCGUCGCACGCCAAACAGAGCACCCGAGGAGAAGAGGAGGAUGCUCUCAAGAGAGGAAAUGAUAUGUUUUUUUUUGUUUUAAGAGCAAGAUAGAAGUUGAUAUGUAGUCCCCUGACUUCUAUAUAUACUGAUCCACAACACUUCACAAAAGAGUAUAUAUCAACAUCGUAUGCUA
Triticum aestivum (bread wheat) is the source of this 1806-nucleotide long non-coding RNA. RefSeq lists it as uncharacterized. The transcript has 7 exons. NCBI's taxonomy places the organism in Eukaryota, Viridiplantae, Streptophyta, Magnoliopsida, Poales, Poaceae. The record is from RefSeq and is a predicted model, not a curated record.